This 250-nucleotide ribosomal RNA is filed under the name uncultured bacterium. Its description in RNAcentral is "partial 16S ribosomal RNA". It matches the Rfam family "Bacterial small subunit ribosomal RNA", at positions 524 to 773 of the family's 1533-position model. The record is from RNAcentral.
UACGUAGGCAGCAAGCGUUGUUCGGAAUUACUGGGCGUAAAGGGUGCGUAGGCGGUCUCGCAAGUUUGGUGUGAAAUCUCCCGGCUUAACUGGGAGGGUGCGCCGAAAACUGCGAGGCUAGAGUGCGGGAGAGGAGAGUGGAAUUCCUGGUGUAGCGGUGAAAUGCGUAGAUAUCAGGAGGAACACCUGUGGUGUAGACGGCUCUCUGGACCGCAACUGACGCUGAUGCACGAAAGCGUGGGGAGCAAAC